Molecule: ribosomal RNA, 347 nt
Filed under: Astropecten latespinosus
Lineage: Eukaryota; Metazoa; Echinodermata; Asteroidea; Paxillosida; Astropectinidae
Description: partial 12S ribosomal RNA
Rfam family: Bacterial small subunit ribosomal RNA
Source: RNAcentral
CGAAGCACCAGAGAACUACGAACAAAAGUUUAAAACUCAAAGGACUUGGCGGUCUUUUAGAUCUCCCUGGAGGAGCUUGCUAUCCAACCGAUAACCCACGGAAAACCUUACCAGCUAUUGUAAAUUCAGCCUGUAUACCAUCGUCGUCAGUCUACCUCCCAAGAGAAGUUUUCACAAAGAACAUUUUUCAUCUCAACGUCAGAUCGAGGUGCAGCUAAUAAGCUGGCGAUCAGUGAGCUACAAUAAAACCACAAAUCCUAAACCCCCUUAUGGACAGUUAUUUGAAAAAAAAACUAGAAACAGGAUUCAGCAGUAACACUUACCAGACAAUAAAUGUGAAACACCCC